AGAGUUUGAUCCUGGCUCAGAACGAACGCUGGCGGCGUGGAUAAGACAUGCAAGUCGAACGGGAUAACAUCUGUAGCAAUACAGGUGUUAUUUAGUGGCGAACGGGUGCGUAACACGUGGGGAAUCUGCCGAGAAGUGGGGGAUAGCUCGCCGAAAGGCGAAUUAAUACCGCAUAUGGUCAGUGAAGACAUCUUCACAACACCAAAGCCGGGGCAACCUGGCGCUUUUUGAUGACCCCGCGGCCUAUCAGCUAGUUGGUGAGGUAACGGCUCACCAAGGCUAUGACGGGUAGCUGGUCUGAGAGGACGACCAGUCACACUGGAACUGAGACACGGUCCAGACACCUACGGGUGGCAGCAGUCGAGAAUUUUUCUCAAUGGGGGAAACCCUGAAGGAGCGACGCCGCGUGGAGGAUGAAGGCUUUCGGGUUGUAAACUCCUGUCAUUUGGGAACAAGGUGCAUCGAUUAACUGUCGAUGCAUUGAUAGUACCAGAAGAGGAAGAGACGGCUAACUCUGUGCCAGCAGCCGCGGUAAUACAGAGGUCUCAAGCGUUGUUCGGAUUCAUUGGGCGUAAAGGGUGCGUAGGUGGCGGGGUAAGUCAGGUGUGAAAUUUCGGAGCUUAACUCCGAAACUGCAUUUGAUACUGCCUUGCUUGAGGACUGGAGAGGAGACUGGAAUUUACGGUGUAGCAGUGAAAUGCGUAGAUAUCGUAAGGAAGACCAGUGGCGAAGGCGGGUCUCUGGACAGUUCCUGACACUGAGGCACGAAGGCUAGGGGAGCAAACGGGAUUAGAUACCCCCGUAGUCC
RNAcentral lists this ribosomal RNA (808 nucleotides) under uncultured Spartobacteria bacterium. RNAcentral describes it as "bacterial SSU rRNA". It matches the Rfam family "Bacterial small subunit ribosomal RNA", at positions 8 to 796 of the family's 1533-position model. The record is from RNAcentral. Lineage: Bacteria; Pseudomonadati; Verrucomicrobiota; Spartobacteria.